GUUUCAUGUUUUCUACUGCGUCCUUUGACAGUCCUAGGAUUCAAUCCUAGGUUUGCUGACGUACGCUCUUUGGGCACUUCAUGGAGAUCGCGAUGGGGCAGAACCAAGCCCAUGCCGCCAUCUUAUAAAUUAACUGCAGCCUAACACAAACAAUCUACACAUCAAGGAGGCUCCUGUCAGUCGUAAACAUCGUCGCUCGUGUACCUUCUCCUGUUUGGUACGUAAGCUUCAUCGUUGACCUGUUUUUCAGAUAUUGUUUGUUUCGUUGGUUAAUUCAAAAUUUUAGGCUAUUUACAUCAUAUUUCUUAUAUGAACUUCAUGAUGGGUAAGAGAAAAUCUUUCUUCGCAAGUGAAGCCUUGGAUUUGCCAGAGACUAAGAAAUUAGUAAGCAACAAAAUUAUGCUUGCUUACAAUUCAAAUUACUUGUUGUUGCUUUCUGGCCCAGUUCUGAGACAGAUUAUUUGUUUCAUUGGUUCAAUCAAAUUGUUAGGCUCUGGAUUUCAUACUGCAUGCAAAUUGCAUGGCCACCAAUAUAUAAUCUUCUGGAAAUUGUGUUUUUAUAGGUCAACUUCUUUUGUUUACCUUCAAACCAAUGGCAUACGACAUGCUCCAUGAGAUUAGCAAUCAGAAGGAUUCCUGGAAAGUAAGGUCAGAAUAAUUAGGCUAUUGGGAUGCCAUUAAUCUCAACAACAAUGAACUUAUUAGCCUUGACAUGAUACUACUUGAUGAAGAGGUUAGCUUAAUGAUGAAAUUUUAUGAAUUGCCAACAUAAAUACACUAUUGUGAGCUGUAGUACUUACUAUAAUAUUGAUGCAUCUUCUUGUUGCACUGUAAUGUUCCAGGGUACUAUGAUACAUGGCAAGGUAAUGAAGCAUAUGGUUAACAAGUUCAGACCAUUGAUCCAAGAAGGUUUAGUCUGCAUGAUAGCAAAUUUUAAGGUUAUGUCUGCAAUGAAUUUCCGUCCAGUUGAAAGUGAAAAGGUUCUAAAUUUCUUGCACACGACAAAAAUUCAAGAGAUAAAAGGUCAAAAAAAUAUCAAAAUAGCAGAACAAAGCUUCAUGUUUUAUACUGUUAAAGUUCUUUCCACAAAAGAGCCAAAAUAUUUACUUAUCUGGUAUGAUUAAAUUUGUUUCAAUUAUUAACUUCCAUGUAUUAUGCAUAUUAAUACCACUUUAUUAGCAGAUGUCAUUAGCAUAGCAAGUUACAUAGGACAUAUUGAAGAAACACAGACAACCCAUGGGAUUUCAAAGAUUCGAGAUAUUGUGCUUCAGAUUGAGGAUCAAAAAAUUAGUAUUAGACUAUGGGGUAAUAAGGUUGGUCAAAUUGAUGAAGAUUCUUUGGGGCGUGUGGUCAUAGUAACAUCAACUACUGUUAGAAAACUGAAAGAGUACUCGCUGUCAUCUACAGGUGCGACCAGAGUUUAUAUCGAUUUGGAUAUCCCUGAAACAAAUGAGCUUCAAACGAGAUAUGGUGGAACUGGAAAGACAUUUCUGUGGAAAGCAAUCACGACAAAAUUAAGAUCUGAAGGAAAAAUAGUUAUAGCAGUUGCUUCAAGUGAUAUAGCAGCACUUCUUUUACAGGGUGGAAGACCAGCUCAUUCAAGAUUUCACAUUCCGCUCAAGAUCACUAACGAGUCCACAUGCAACAUCAAGCAAGGAACAUUUCUUGCGGAGCUAAUAAAGAAAACGUCACUAAUAAUAUGGGAUGAACCACCUAUGACACACAAGCACUGUUUUGAGGCACUAGAUAAGAGUUUGGGAGACAUACUUCGAUUCACAUAUGAGGACGCAGAGCAUAGACCAUUUGGAGGAAUGACAGUAGUAUUGGGAGGUGACUUCAGGCAAAUCCUACCAGUUAUACCGAAGGGGAAAAUAGAACAUAUCAUUUCUGCAUCAAUAAAGAGUUCCUACCUAUGGAAGAACUUUGAGGAGUAUCGACUCAAAGAAAAUAUGCGUCUGAAUUCAUCCGAAGGUAGUCCAGAAGAGAAAGCAAAAACAGCUGAAUUCGCAAACUGGAAACUAAACAUAGGCGAUGGCACAACGUCAACAAUAGAUGAAGUGGAUUGGGUUAGCAUCCUAGAGGACCUUAUUUUACAUAAAGGGGAUGACCCGGAAGCAUCUAUUGUUAACACCACCUAUCCUGACUUACACAGAAAAUACACUGAUAGAACAUACCUAGAGGAAAGAGCGAUCUUGUGCCCAAGAAACGAGACUGCUGACCAGAUUACUGCCUACAUCAUGAGUCAAAUCCGUGGAGAAGAGGUAACCUAUUUCAGUUCAGAUACAACAUGCAAGGCAAUGUCUACGGUGGAAGAUGAAGAUAUGUUGUACCCAACUGAGUUUCUGAAUAGUACAUUUUCUGGAAUACCAGACCAUGAACUGAGGCUGAAAGUAGGAUUACCAAUAAUGCUUAUGAGGAACAUCAAUCAAAGUGCAGGACUUUGCAAUGGACAAGACUAACAAUAACACAGCUAGGAAAGCAUUUCAUUGAAGGCCAGGUCAUAACAGGUCCUAAUGUUGGUGACAAGGUUUACAUCCCCACAAAUUAUCAUGUCACCAAGUGAUUCAAAAUGGACUUUCAUUCUGAAAAGGAGACAGUACGCAAUAUUAGUGUGCUUUUCUAUGACUAUAAACAAAAGCCUGGGGCAAUCUCUCAAAAAAGUUGGACUCUACUUAGAAAGGCAAGUGUUCACACAUGGACAACUCUAUGUUGCAAUUUCAAGGGUGACCAGCAGAAAUGGAUUGAAGAUACUCAUAUCAGAUGAAGAGCGUCCAUCCGACAAGGUUGCAGAAAACAUUGUUUACAAGGAUAUAUUACAGAUAUUGUUACAAGCAUUCUGA
RNAcentral lists this ribosomal RNA (2840 nucleotides) under Triticum aestivum (bread wheat). RNAcentral's name for it is "partial small subunit ribosomal RNA". Lineage: Eukaryota; Viridiplantae; Streptophyta; Magnoliopsida; Poales; Poaceae. The record is from RNAcentral.